This 486-nucleotide ribosomal RNA is filed under the name uncultured bacterium. RNAcentral describes it as "partial 16S ribosomal RNA". It matches the Rfam family "Bacterial small subunit ribosomal RNA", at positions 899 to 1397 of the family's 1533-position model. The record is from RNAcentral.
ACUCAAAGGAAUUGACGGGGGCCCGCACAAGCAGCGGAGCGUGUGGUUUAAUUCGAGGUUACACGAAGCACCUUACCUGGGUUUGACAUCCGGCUAGUAGGGACGCGAAAGCGAACCGACCGCAAGGAGGCCGGACAGGUGCUGCAUGGCUGUCGUCAGCUCGUGCCGUGAGGUGUUAGGUUAAGUCCUGUAACGAGCGCAACCCCCAGGUCUAGUUACACGUUGUCUAGACCGACUGCCCGUGACAAGCGGGAGGAAGGUGGGGACGACGUCAAGUCAGCAUGGCCUUUAUAUCCAGGGCUACACACACGCUACAAUGGCCGGUACAAUGGGUCGCCAAGCCGCAAGGCGGAGCCAAUCCAUAAAAAGCCGGUCUCAGUUCGGAUUGUGGGCUGCAACCCGCCCGCAUGAAGUCGGAGUUGCUAGUAACCGCCGGUCAGCUAUACGGCGGUGAAUACGUUCCCGGGCCUUGCACACACCGCCCGU